RNAcentral lists this ribosomal RNA (2303 nucleotides) under Acinetobacter lwoffii NCTC 5866 = CIP 64.10 = NIPH 512. Its description in RNAcentral is "bacterial LSU rRNA". It matches the Rfam family "Bacterial large subunit ribosomal RNA", at positions 641 to 2925 of the family's 2925-position model. Lineage: Bacteria; Pseudomonadati; Pseudomonadota; Gammaproteobacteria; Moraxellales; Moraxellaceae. The record is from RNAcentral.
CAAGGUUAACCGAAUAGGGGAGCCGUAGGGAAACCGAGUCUUAAUAGGGCGUUUAGUUGCUGGGUAUAGACCCGAAACCAGGUGAUCUAUCCAUGAGCAGGUUGAAGGUUGGGUAACACUAACUGGAGGACCGAACCCACUGUCGUUGAAAAGCCAGGGGAUGACUUGUGGAUAGGGGUGAAAGGCUAAUCAAACUUGGUGAUAGCUGGUUCUCCCCGAAAGCUAUUUAGGUAGCGCCUCGGACGAAUACCAUUGGGGGUAGAGCACUGUUUCGGCUAGGGGGUCAUCCCGACUUACCAAACCGAUGCAAACUCCGAAUACCAAUGAGUACUAUCCGGGAGACAGACUGCGGGUGCUAACGUCCGUAGUCAAGAGGAAAACAAUCCAGACCGCCAGCUAAGGCCCCAAAAUUAUAGUUAAGUGGGAAACGAUGUGGGAAGGCAUAGACAGCUAGGAGGUUGGCUUAGAAGCAGCCACCCUUUAAAGAAAGCGUAAUAGCUCACUAGUCGAGUCGGCCUGCGCGGAAGAUGUAACGGGGCUAAAACUAUAUGCCGAAGCUGCGGAUGCAUAAUUUAUUAUGCGUGGUAGGGGAGCGUUCUGUAAGCCGAUGAAGGUGGAUUGAGAAGUCUGCUGGAGGUAUCAGAAGUGCGAAUGCUGACGUGAGUAACGACAAUGCGAGUGAAAAACUCGCACGCUGAAAGACCAAGGGUUCCAGUCCAACGUUAAUCGGGGCUGGGUGAGUCGACCCCUAAGGCGAGGCCGAGAGGCGUAGUCGAUGGGAAAUUGGUUAAUAUUCCAAUACUUCUGUGUAAUGCGAUGAGAGGACGGAGAAGGUUAAGUCAGCCUGGCGUUGGUUGUCCAGGUGGAAGGUUGUAGGCAUGUAUCUUAGGCAAAUCCGGGGUACUCUAUGCUGAGAACUGAUAGCAAGCUGUACUUGUACAGUGAAGUGGCUGAUACCAUGCUUCCAGGAAAAGUCUCUAAGCUUCAGUUACACAGGAAUCGUACCCGAAACCGACACAGGUGGUCAGGUCGAGUAGACCAAAGCGCUUGAGAGAACUCUGCUGAAGGAACUAGGCAAAAUGGUACCGUAACUUCGGGAGAAGGUACGCUGUUGUCUGUGAUAGGACUUGCUCCUUGAGCGGGCGACAGCCUCAGAAACCAGGCCCCUGCAACUGUUUAUUAAAAACAUAGCACUCUGCAAACACGAAAGUGGACGUAUAGGGUGUGAUGCCUGCCCGGUGCUGGAAGGUUAAUUGAUGGGGUUAGCGUAAGCGAAGCUCUUGAUCGAAGCCCCAGUAAACGGCGGCCGUAACUAUAACGGUCCUAAGGUAGCGAAAUUCCUUGUCGGGUAAGUUCCGACCUGCACGAAUGGCAUAAUGAUGGGGGCGCUGUCUCCAGCAGAGACUCAGUGAAAUCGAAUUCGCCGUGAAGAUGCGGUGUACCCGCGGCUAGACGGAAAGACCCCGUGAACCUUUACUGCAGCUUGACAUUGAACUUUGAUCUUACUUGUGUAGGAUAGGUGGGAGGCUUUGAAGUCGCGACGCUAGUUGCGAUGGAGCCGUCCUUGAAAUACCACCCUGGUAAUAUUGAGGUUCUAACUCUGUCCCGUUAUCCGGGACGAGGACCAUGUCUGGUGGGUAGUUUGACUGGGGCGGUCUCCUCCUAAAGAGUAACGGAGGAGUACGAAGGUGCGCUCAGCGUGGUCGGAAAUCACGCGUAGAGUAUAAAGGCAAAAGCGCGCUUAACUGCGAGACCCACAAGUCGAGCAGGUACGAAAGUAGGUCUUAGUGAUCCGGUGGUUCUGUAUGGAAGGGCCAUCGCUCAACGGAUAAAAGGUACUCUGGGGAUAACAGGCUGAUACCGCCCAAGAGUUCAUAUCGACGGCGGUGUUUGGCACCUCGAUGUCGGCUCAUCUCAUCCUGGGGCUGAAGCAGGUCCCAAGGGUAUGGCUGUUCGCCAUUUAAAGAGGUACGCGAGCUGGGUUUAGAACGUCGUGAGACAGUUCGGUCCCUAUCUACCGUGGGCGUUGGAAAUUUGAGAGGAUCUGCUCCUAGUACGAGAGGACCAGAGUGGACGAACCUCUGGUGUACCGGUUGUCACGCCAGUGGCAUCGCCGGGUAGCUAUGUUCGGAAGGGAUAACCGCUGAAAGCAUCUAAGCGGGAAGCCUACCUCAAGAUAAGAUUUCCCCGAGACUUUAUGUCUCCUAAAGAGCCGUUGAAGACUACGACGUUGAUAGGUUGGAUGUGGAAGCAUAGUGAUAUGUGAAGCUGACCAAUACUAAUUGCUCGUGAGGCUUGACUAU